GCCUGGGUGGCUUGGUUGGUUAAGCAUCUGACUUCGGCUCAGGUCAUGAUCUCACGGUCCGUGGGUUCGAGCCCCGCAUCAGGCU
RNAcentral lists this transfer RNA (85 nucleotides) under Felis catus (domestic cat). It matches the Rfam family "tRNA". Rfam says of the family: Transfer RNA (tRNA) molecules are approximately 80 nucleotides in length. Lineage: Eukaryota; Metazoa; Chordata; Mammalia; Carnivora; Felidae. The record is from Rfam by way of RNAcentral.